Long non-coding RNA from Helianthus annuus (common sunflower), 461 nucleotides. RefSeq lists it as uncharacterized. The transcript is spliced from 4 exons. NCBI's taxonomy places the organism in Eukaryota, Viridiplantae, Streptophyta, Magnoliopsida, Asterales, Asteraceae. The record is from RefSeq and is a predicted model, not a curated record.
UUGAAUAAAACAUAACAUGUACUAUGCAUAAAACGUAUAACUUACUAGCAUUGUAUUAUGCAGGAAGAGUCUAUAUGGUGAUGAAGUUUUAUCCCUCUUCUUCUCUUCAAGGAUUAGUACAUCCACAAAUGCAUCAAUCCCGUUUGAUGCUACAUAUUGAUUUUUAUAGAAGCUUUCGAAGAUUAUUUUCAAACAUGUAUCUAAGUAGACUGAAUUCACGAUCCAGAAGUGGUUCACUUAAAGUAACCAAUCUGUUGCAGUAAGGGGAACAAAAUGCACCACCAGAAGGACUUGGUGUUCCAACCUCCCAUAACAACAACUCCCUCGCGGAUUCACAAAUGGAAAGCUUGCAAAACCGUUGAGGAUGAUGAUGCUAUGAAAUGAAGUAGUGAUGAUGCUUAGAUACACAUUUAGACGUAUUAGGUUUAAAAUGUUGUAUCAAUUUUGGUUUUUGUUAUGUU